UCAUAAACAGACAUAAAAUGAUUGCUGAACUGAACUGAGAGAGUGAAGAAUGUGAUAUUGUUUUCUGCAGGCUAAUUGAUUGCGGUGUCACAGAUGAAGGUUGUGCUGCUCUGGCUUCGGUUCUGAGAUUAAACCCCUCACACCUGAAAGAACUGUAUCUGUCUUUGAAUAAACUAGGAGAUUUAGGAGUGAAGAAGCUCUGUGCCGGACUGGAGAAUGCUCACUGUAAACUGGAGAUAUUGUGGUUUAGGUAUUGUGGUGUCUCAGAUGAAGGUUGUUCUGCUUUGGCUUCAGCUCUGAGAUCAAACCCUUCACACCUGAGAGAACUGAAUCUGUCUGAAAAUCUAGCAGACUCAGGAGUGAAGAAGCUCUGUGCUCUCAAAAAUGAUCCAUGUUAUAAGCUGGAGACAGUUCUGUGAGUGGUAUGCCUGAUACAUUUUUAGAUUUUGUCUGAUAUCAGAAAAUGUGCCUGUACUUUAAAUUGUUUAUGAGUGAAUAACUAUUUGUCUGCUCAUACCGUUGGGACUGAUCUGUGGUAUGAAAUACAAAGUUUACUUCUUAAGAUGUCUAUGUGGCGGUAUGGGUGAAUUUGCAAUUUAGUAGAAUAUUCAUGUGCACAUGAAGGAACUUCACACUGGAGACAGCAGGACAGCUUCAAACCACCUCUAUUUAUUGAUCCUGGAACGCAUGGGAUGCUUGAUCAGUAAUAUUCACCACGCUAUCCUCUUUCCAUGUUACACACAAUAUUAACUGGGAGAUUAGGAGAGAAACUUUUGUGUCUUUGCCUCACCAGCGUCCCAAUCGCUGUCUAAGCUGAUGUAUUUCAACAAUUUGAUGUUUACAUUGUGUAAUACAUUAAAACACAUAAGAAAUAAAGAAGUUGAAAUAAAA
This is a long non-coding RNA of Sinocyclocheilus rhinocerous, 891 nucleotides long. RefSeq lists it as uncharacterized. The record is from RefSeq and is a predicted model, not a curated record. The transcript has 2 exons. NCBI's taxonomy places the organism in Eukaryota, Metazoa, Chordata, Actinopteri, Cypriniformes, Cyprinidae.